GGGAACUCCCAGACAGUUCGCGAGAUUGCGACGUUUGCUAGGCCGCAUUCCCCCAUGUUCGUUUUUCUUUGUGAGACAAGAAAAAAAUCAGAGAAGAUGAGAAGGGUUAGAUCACGACUUAGUUUGAAGGGUUUUGAUGGUGUGGAUAGUGAUGGCACGAGUGGAGGUCUCGCUCUCUUUUCACAU
Molecule: ribosomal RNA, 186 nt
Filed under: Triticum aestivum (bread wheat)
Lineage: Eukaryota; Viridiplantae; Streptophyta; Magnoliopsida; Poales; Poaceae
Description: partial small subunit ribosomal RNA
Source: RNAcentral